GUUACUACAAGCUGGUUGGAACCAGACUGUAUUGGCCCAGGGACUGACUGUCCACAGUAUCGUCCUAUGAUGGGUGAUCCAGGGGAGUCACCAUUCCUGACAGUGACCGAGUCUGACGUGCAAGUUGGAUGGUUCUCCACACUAAAGUCACUAAAUGUGAGCUGCAGAAGAGAAAAGGCAUGAUGAGUCCCCAUGAGCUGAAACGGAGUCACCCUAAAAGGAGUCACCCUAAAAGGAGUCACCCUAAAAGGAGUCACCCUGCCUCCAGGCAGCAAGUUUUCUACAGAAGAUUUGAUUUCCUUGAGAAGCUUGGUUCAUCAGUGAUGCCUUGAUCCUUUUGUAUCAUGAAAAAAAGAUGAAAGAUGUCUUUGAGGAUAAUUUCCCAAAUAGCCCCAUGUGCUUCUCUUCAUUGGUAUGCUGUGGAGGGUUUUUAAACUUCUAAGGCCUAAAAAGAAUUGAACCACCUUCUGUGAAUCCUUCUGGUUCUGGGAACUACUGGCAGUCUGACCACACUGAGCUUAGUCUCGUAGGACCAGUGGAGCACACUGAUAAGACAGAGACUCUCCAGAACCAAACUCGAGUGAACCUCCCAUACAGGAAACCUGAGACAGGAGGCUUUCCUUGCUAAGGACCUGCUUCACUCAUAGUUCAUAGGUCAUGCUUCCUAUAUGGGAACACAGGAUUUCAGCAUUGUACUGACAAAGCUCCUUUGUAUCUUCUGUACUGAAAUAGUAGCCAUUUGACUCCUGCUGUUGUCCAAGAAUAAGAAGACUAUGCACAUAAAUGAGAAAGCGUGUUAUUUCAUUGAACUAACCUACUCGAAACUCGAGGACAUCAAAUGUACAGUCUUGAUGACUUUCGAGGGAAAGUCCUAGAAAAUGGAUACUUAUGGAUGAAUUUUCCCGAUUUGGAUUACUGAGAGUCCAUUCACAGUCUAGAUUUCUCGCGUAAUCACGGAUUCCAUUAUAGCCAGGAGAAGAAAAGUUUCCACCAGAGACACUUGGAAGAGUUCCACCACACACUAAGGCAA
This is a long non-coding RNA of Mus musculus (house mouse), 1030 nucleotides long. RefSeq annotates it as predicted gene, 57686. The transcript is spliced from 2 exons. The record is from RefSeq and is a predicted model, not a curated record. Lineage: Eukaryota; Metazoa; Chordata; Mammalia; Rodentia; Muridae.